UCCCGGUUGGCCCGGGCAGUCUCGCAUGAAAAAUACAACAUACGAUAAGGGUUGCGCUCGUUGCGGGACUUAACCCAACAUUUCACAACACGAGCUGACGACGGCCAUGCAGCACCUGUCACUUGGCUCCUUGCGGCACCCCUCUGUUUCCAGUGGGUUCCAAGGAUGUCAAGCCUGGGUAAGGUUCUACGCGUAGCGUCAUAUUAAACCACAUCAUCCUCUGCUUGUGCGGGUCCCCGUCAAUUCCUUUGAGUUUUAGCCUUGCGGCCGUACUUCCCAGGCGGCGUACUUAUCGCGUUAGCUGGGCCCCUGAUCCACGUAGACCAAGGGCGAACACUCACCGUUUACGGCAUGGACUAC
This 360-nucleotide unclassified non-coding RNA is filed under the name uncultured bacterium. RNAcentral's name for it is "contains 16S-23S intergenic spacer region". The record is from RNAcentral.